This 548-nucleotide ribosomal RNA is filed under the name uncultured bacterium. Its description in RNAcentral is "bacterial SSU rRNA". It matches the Rfam family "Bacterial small subunit ribosomal RNA", at positions 567 to 1116 of the family's 1533-position model. The record is from RNAcentral.
GCUCGUAGGCGGCCUGUUGCGUCCGCUGUGAAAUCCCGGGGCUUAACCCCGGGCGUGCAGUGGAUACGGGCAGGCUGGAGGCAGGCAGGGGAGAACGGAAUUCCCGGUGUAGCGGUGAAAUGCGCAGAUAUCGGGAGGAACACCGGUGGCGAAGGCGGUUCUCUGGGCCUGUACUGACGCUGAGGAGCGAAAGCGUGGGGAGCGAACAGGAUUAGAUACCCUGGUAGUCCACGCCGUAAACGUUGGGCGCUAGGUGUGGGUCCCUUCCACGGGGUCUGUGCCGCAGCUAACGCAUUAAGCGCCCCGCCUGGGGAGUACGGCCGCAAGGCUAAAACUCAAAGAAAUUGACGGGGGCCCGCACAAGCGGCGGAGCAUGUUGCUUAAUUCGACGCAACGCGAAGAACCUUACCAAGGUUUGACAUGGGCCGAAAACUCGCAGAGAUGCGGGGUCCUUCGGGGCGGUUCACAGGUGGUGCAUGGCUGUCGUCAGCUCGUGUCGUGAGAUGUUGGGUUAAGUCCCGCAACGAGCGCAACCCUCGUCCAAUGUU